GAAGUCAGAAGAAGUUCGGUGAACGACGAAUCAACGCAAGAAUCAGCAAGGGAUUACAAACUACGUUGAUGCCAAACAAGAUGGAAGACAAAUGGAGUUUGGUAAACAACCAUUCAAUACCAGAAUGGGCGAGGUAAUAAAUGAUUUCAUUCAUAUUUUAUUGGUGAAGUAUGCAUUACAAAACCUUAAAGGCCAAAAAAAAAGCAAACAACAAAAACACAUAUACAAAAUAAACAGCUCUAAGGAAGCUCGGCUCCAUCGGACUUCGAACUCCCGAUUCCAGCCAUCGUCGAGAAUUACUUCAAGUACUUGGCUUCUUCUUCCAGUCCCCCUCUC
This 336-nucleotide long non-coding RNA is filed under the name Elaeis guineensis (African oil palm). Its description in RNAcentral is "long non-coding RNA (EGUI_LNC056265)". Lineage: Eukaryota; Viridiplantae; Streptophyta; Magnoliopsida; Arecales; Arecaceae. The record is from RNAcentral.